AACGCGAAGAACCUUACCUACCCUUGACAUGCCAGGAAGCCGGGUGAGAGCUCGGUGUGCCCGAAAGGGAGCCUGGACACAGGUGCUGCAUGGCUGUCGUCAGCUCGUGUCGUGAGAUGUUGGGUUAAGUCCCGCAACGAGCGCAACCCUUGUCGUUAGUUGCUACGGUAACGGGCACUCUAGUGAGACUGCCGGUGACAAACCGGAGGAAGGUGGGGAUGACGUCAAGUCCUCAUGGCCCUUAUGGGUAGGGCCUCACACGUCAUACAAUGGCGCAUACAGAGGGCUGCCAACCCGCGAGGGGGAGCCAAUCCCAGAAAGUGCGUCGUAGUCCGGAUUGCAGUCUGCAACUCGACUGCAUGAAGUCGGAAUCGCUAGUAAUCGCGGAUCAGCAAUGUCGCGGUGAAUACGUUCCCGGGUCUUGUACACACCG
Molecule: ribosomal RNA, 433 nt
Filed under: uncultured bacterium
Lineage: Bacteria
Description: bacterial SSU rRNA
Rfam family: Bacterial small subunit ribosomal RNA
Source: RNAcentral